Long non-coding RNA from Alligator mississippiensis (American alligator), 892 nucleotides. RefSeq lists it as uncharacterized. NCBI's taxonomy places the organism in Eukaryota, Metazoa, Chordata, Crocodylia, Alligatoridae. The transcript is spliced from 4 exons. The record is from RefSeq and is a predicted model, not a curated record.
AAAAAGCUCCUAGCAAGGGGAGCCAAGAAGAGCAGCUUCUACAGACUACCCAUAGGGGUUUGAGAGUCAGCUUCUAGGGAGGAAAGCCUAAGACAGGCAGGAGUGGAGGGCUGAAAGCCAGAGAGCUAAGACCAGCUGAAAUCUGAGAGCCUAAAGGUUAGAAGCUGAGAGCCAAGAGGGAGAGAGCUGGUGGGUCAGUGAAUUGGUGCCUGAGGAUGCUGCCUAGAGUGCCUUUCUCUGGGGAGCUAACCAGAGACUAGCUUUGAAAAGUUCAUUUACAAAAUGAAAACCAGAUUGGAAGACACCAUUUUAUUUGGAAAGAUGUUUAAGCUUUCAACAUUGUCCUUGGCAUAUACUGUCCUGGAUCAUAAUUCUGAAUCCAAAGAGUCCCCCAGAUUUUGGACCAGUUCAAAUCUGAAUACCAAUGCUACAACUUAGGGUUUUAAUUCUACAUGUAUGAAGAUUAUGGAGUGUGAAGGAGCCAGCUGUUGGGUGCCACAUAAGUAAAAAAUGGCCAGCUUCUAAUAGUCAUCUGUUUUCAUUUUCUGUUGUAUCUCUUUCCCUGUGCUAUAUGUGUAGAAGUCAUAAUCUUUGCUUUUGUGUUUACAUUUAUGGGGUUUGUUUGUUUGUUUUUACAGCUAAUUGAAAAAUGAAUAUAUACAUUUUUUAACAAGUCAAAUCCUAUUUCUAGUUCAUUGAGUAGGAGUGUUGCUAUUGGCUUCAAUGAAAUCAAAAUGUAGCUCUAAGUGAACAAACAACAAAAAAUACAGAGUUCAGUUUGCUAAAUUAUGUUGUCAUCAUUUCUUCUUUGUAAGUAUUCAUACACUUGUUGGAGAGCUGCUCAUAGAUCCCAAAUGUUUCGUCAUUUUAACACAACUGUUCAAGCAAAUAU